This 486-nucleotide ribosomal RNA is filed under the name uncultured bacterium. RNAcentral describes it as "partial 16S ribosomal RNA". It matches the Rfam family "Bacterial small subunit ribosomal RNA", at positions 30 to 507 of the family's 1533-position model. The record is from RNAcentral.
AUUGAACGCUGGCGGCAUGCCUUACACAUGCAAGUCGAACGGCAGCACGGGUGCUUGCACCUGGUGGCGAGUGGCGAACGGGUGAGUAAUACAUCGGAACAUGUCCUGUAGUGGGGGAUAGCCCGGCGAAAGCCGGAUUAAUACCGCAUACGAUCUACGGAUGAAAGCGGGGGACCUUCGGGCCUCGCGCUAUAGGGUUGGCCGAUGGCUGAUUAGCUAGUUGGUGGGGUAAAGGCCUACCAAGGCGACGAUCAGUAGCUGGUCUGAGAGGACGACCAGCCACACUGGGACUGAGACACGGCCCAGACUCCUACGGGAGGCAGCAGUGGGGAAUUUUGGACAAUGGGCGAAAUCCUGAUCCAGCAAUGCCGCGUGUGUGAAGAAGGCCUUCGGGUUGUAAAGCACUUUUGUCCGGAAAGAAAUCCUUGGCCCUAAUACGGUCGGGGGAUGACGGUACCGGAAGAAUAAGCACCGGCUAACUACGUG